GGGGGUGAAAGGCCAAUCAAACCGGGAGAUAGCUGGUUCUCCCCGAAAGCUAUUUAGGUAGCGCCUCGUGAAUUCAUCUCCGGGGGUAGAGCACUGUUUCGGCUAGGGGGCCAUCCCGGCUUACCAACCCGAUGCAAACUGCGAAUACCGGAGAAUGUUAUCACGGGAGACACACGGCGGGUGCUAACGUCCGUCGUGAAGAGGGAAACAACCCAGACCGCCAGCUAAGGUCCCAAAGUCAUGGUUAAGUGGGAAACGAUGUGGGAAGGCCCAGACAGCCAGGAUGUUGGCUUAGAAGCAGCCAUCAUUUAAAGAAAGCGUAAUAGCUCACUGGUCGAGUCGGCCUGCGCGGAAGAUGUAACGGGGCUAAACCAU
Molecule: ribosomal RNA, 375 nt
Filed under: Salmonella enterica
Lineage: Bacteria; Pseudomonadati; Pseudomonadota; Gammaproteobacteria; Enterobacterales; Enterobacteriaceae
Also listed under: 2 other names
Description: partial 23S ribosomal RNA
Rfam family: Bacterial large subunit ribosomal RNA
Source: RNAcentral